AAAAAAGUGGAUUGAUUUGCGUUUUUAUCUCGUCCGAGAUAGACAAAGAGAUUGCAACCACAGAAAAAAAGUGCUAAAACCAUUCGA
Non-coding RNA from Triticum urartu, 87 nucleotides. The record is from Rfam. NCBI's taxonomy places the organism in Eukaryota, Viridiplantae, Streptophyta, Magnoliopsida, Poales, Poaceae.